RNAcentral lists this ribosomal RNA (469 nucleotides) under uncultured bacterium. RNAcentral's name for it is "bacterial SSU rRNA". It matches the Rfam family "Bacterial small subunit ribosomal RNA", at positions 28 to 488 of the family's 1533-position model. The record is from RNAcentral.
AUUGAACGCUGGCGGCAUGCUUUACACAUGCAAGUCGAGCGGCAGCGCGGGGGCAACCCUGGCGGCGAGCGGCGAACGGGUGAGUAAUGCAUCGGAACGUACCCUGGAGUGGGGGAUAACGCCGCGAAAGCGGCGCUAAUACCGCAUAUGCUCUGAGGAGGAAAGUGGGGGACCGCAAGGCCUCACGCUCUGGGAGCGGCCGAUGUCCGAUUAGCUAGUUGGUGGGGUAAAGGCUUACCAAGGCGACGAUCGGUAGCUGGUCUGAGAGGAUGAUCAGCCACACUGGGACUGAGACACGGCCCAGACUCCUACGGGAGGCAGCAGUGGGGAAUUUUGGACAAUGGGGGCAACCCUGAUCCAGCCAUGCCGCGUGAGUGAAGAAGGCCUCGGGUUGGUAAAGUACUCUUUGGUUCGGGAAGGAAAGACGCCGUUGCCUAAUACGCGAGGUGGUUGACGGUACCGGCGAGAA